RNAcentral lists this ribosomal RNA (361 nucleotides) under uncultured bacterium. Its description in RNAcentral is "bacterial SSU rRNA". It matches the Rfam family "Bacterial small subunit ribosomal RNA", at positions 32 to 368 of the family's 1533-position model. The record is from RNAcentral.
AAUCAACGCUGGCGGCGUGCCUCAGACAUGCAAGUCGAACGCGAAAGUUUCCUUCGGGAGACAAGUAGAGUGGCGCACGGGUGAGUAACACGUAGGUAAUCUACCUUCGGAUGGGGAAUAACAAUCGGAAACGGUUGCUAAUACCGCAUAAUGCAGCGGCACCUAAUGGUGACAGUUGUUAAAAGCGGGGGAGUCGAAAGAACCUCGCGUCUGAAGAGGAGCCUGCGGCGGAUUAGCUAGUUGGUAAGGUAAUGGCUUACCAAGGCGACGAUCCGUAACCGGCCUGAGAGGGCGGUCGGUCACACUGACACUGACAUACGGGUCAGAACUCCUACGGGAGGCAGCAGUCGGGAAUUUUGGG